This 1554-nucleotide ribosomal RNA is filed under the name Escherichia coli. RNAcentral's name for it is "bacterial SSU rRNA". It matches the Rfam family "Bacterial small subunit ribosomal RNA". The record is from RNAcentral. Lineage: Bacteria; Pseudomonadati; Pseudomonadota; Gammaproteobacteria; Enterobacterales; Enterobacteriaceae.
AAAUUGAAGAGUUUGAUCAUGGCUCAGAUUGAACGCUGGCGGCAGGCCUAACACAUGCAAGUCGAACGGUAACAGGAAGCAGCUUGCUGCUUCGCUGACGAGUGGCGGACGGGUGAGUAAUGUCUGGGAAACUGCCUGAUGGAGGGGGAUAACUACUGGAAACGGUAGCUAAUACCGCAUAAUGUCGCAAGACCAAAGAGGGGGACCUUCGGGCCUCUUGCCAUCGGAUGUGCCCAGAUGGGAUUAGCUUGUUGGUGGGGUAACGGCUCACCAAGGCGACGAUCCCUAGCUGGUCUGAGAGGAUGACCAGCCACACUGGAACUGAGACACGGUCCAGACUCCUACGGGAGGCAGCAGUGGGGAAUAUUGCACAAUGGGCGCAAGCCUGAUGCAGCCAUGCCGCGUGUAUGAAGAAGGCCUUCGGGUUGUAAAGUACUUUCAGCGGGGAGGAAGGGAGUAAAGUUAAUACCUUUGCUCAUUGACGUUACCCGCAGAAGAAGCACCGGCUAACUCCGUGCCAGCAGCCGCGGUAAUACGGAGGGUGCAAGCGUUAAUCGGAAUUACUGGGCGUAAAGCGCACGCAGGCGGUUUGUUAAGUCAGAUGUGAAAUCCCCGGGCUCAACCUGGGAACUGCAUCUGAUACUGGCAAGCUUGAGUCUCGUAGAGGGGGGUAGAAUUCCAGGUGUAGCGGUGAAAUGCGUAGAGAUCUGGAGGAAUACCGGUGGCGAAGGCGGCCCCCUGGACGAAGACUGACGCUCAGGUGCGAAAGCGUGGGGAGCAAACAGGAUUAGAUACCCUGGUAGUCCACGCCGUAAACGAUGUCGACUUGGAGGUUGUGCCCUUGAGGCGUGGCUUCCGGAGCUAACGCGUUAAGUCGACCGCCUGGGGAGUACGGCCGCAAGGUUAAAACUCAAAUGAAUUGACGGGGGCCCGCACAAGCGGUGGAGCAUGUGGUUUAAUUCGAUGCAACGCGAAGAACCUUACCUGGUCUUGACAUCCACAGAACUUUCCAGAGAUGGAUUGGUGCCUUCGGGAACUGUGAGACAGGUGCUGCAUGGCUGUCGUCAGCUCGUGUUGUGAAAUGUUGGGUUAAGUCCCGCAACGAGCGCAACCCUUAUCCUUUGUUGCCAGCGGUCCGGCCGGGAACUCAAAGGAGACUGCCAGUGAUAAACUGGAGGAAGGUGGGGAUGACGUCAAGUCAUCAUGGCCCUUACGACCAGGGCUACACACGUGCUACAAUGGCGCAUACAAAGAGAAGCGACCUCGCGAGAGCAAGCGGACCUCAUAAAGUGCGUCGUAGUCCGGAUUGGAGUCUGCAACUCGACUCCAUGAAGUCGGAAUCGCUAGUAAUCGUGGAUCAGAAUGCCACGGUGAAUACGUUCCCGGGCCUUGUACACACCGCCCGUCACACCAUGGGAGUGGGUUGCAAAAGAAGUAGGUAGCUUAACCUUCGGGAGGGCGCUUACCACUUUGUGAUUCAUGACUGGGGUGAAGUCGUAACAAGGUAACCGUAGGGGAACCUGCGGUUGGAUCACCUCCUUAUCUUAAAGAAGC